Long non-coding RNA from Harpia harpyja (harpy eagle), 1692 nucleotides. RefSeq lists it as uncharacterized. The record is from RefSeq and is a predicted model, not a curated record. The transcript is spliced from 4 exons. Lineage: Eukaryota; Metazoa; Chordata; Aves; Accipitriformes; Accipitridae.
AGCAGCAGCAGCAGCAGCCUGGUGGGGAGCUGCCGGGAGAACGGUCGUGGUUUUGCAAAGAAAUAGCACACCUCAGAAAUGGAAAGAAAGGAGAGAGAAGUGGUUUUCUCUGUUGUUUCCAUUGGCAAAAGAAUAGCAAAUAGACUGUGAUGUAACAUUAUUAAUAUUGCUCAUGGAAGAGGAUAUAUUUCAACAAAGUAAUUCCAGAGGAUCAAAGAAGAUUGGCUAAUUGAAGGUCAAGCAGUUAAAAAAUGUGCCCUCAGGACCCUUUUUGUCCCUCGAGUUCAUCAGAUUCUUUGCAGGUUAAGUCUCUCUCAUGUUAAGAAGACCCCGAGACUUUGGCUGGUCUCUGCACUUCUCAGCACAGCACCACUGUGGGUGUGUUACAUAAAUUGCCACAAUGGAGUGUAUUUCAGAUCCUUCAGCUCAGAGGCCAUCUGUCAUUGAGAGUGGCACAUUCACCUGCUCGUCACUUCUGCAGCAGUGUGUGCGCUAGACAGGGUACAUCCAGAUGAAGUUAACAACAGGAGCAGCUCUUGAUACAGCUGAGUUUGGAAAGACUUAGUAAUCAAGUCACUCUUUCAGAUGGGAGCAAACACCACAAAUAGCUCGCUCUUUCUAUCCAAGAGAACACCAAGUGCUUUCUGCUUUGCUUCAGAAAAGAGCAAACUAGUUCCCUAAGGGCUGUUUUUCUGCUUAGUAGAAUCCAGCAUCGCCUCCGUGGGCACUUCUCUACUGUGCCUGACCUGCAGGUAAUCACAGAACUCUAAUAAGAAAAUUGUCCUCAAGUCCUUGGAUAGAUCCAGACAGGAUUCAGCAUUUUUAUAAGUAUCGACUUAUCUAUGUCUCACCAUUUCCCUUCCACCUUUGUAUUUCCUUGAACUCUGAGGAAGUGGAAGUAAGCCAGGGCAUGCUGUUGACCACUUCUCCUAAUGUUAUUUGUCUGGAGUGGUUUUUGGCUUGAGAAUAUGUUCACAUUUCUGUAUUGGUCUAACUUUCCCUUGUUCCGUGUUUAAUGCAAACUGUGUAAGUUGUUGAAGGAGGAACUUGACAGUGUGGAUGUGUGCUGACAAUUUGCGCCAAGAAUUCCGACUAUGGGUCAGAGAUUUUUUCUUUCUAAUCAGUGACAAUGUACGUAACCUUUCUGUCUACUCUCAGUGUUCUUGUCUGUAAUAUGAGGUUUUACUUGCCUGCCUCACAGGCAUGUGGAAGCUUAAUUAGUGUAGGUAAUAAAUGCUAAGUAUUAUUUUAGAAGAUCUAUUGCAUUCUAAAAUGAUCAAGUUUGGAUCUUAAUUCACAGCUUUAUGGGCUAAGGUUCAGUAUUGAUUACCUUAGAUUUUCACAAAGCCUCUCCUGAAUUUAAUAAGGGAUUUAACAAAAUAACUCUUGAAAAUACUUAUGAUUCAUCUUAAUAAAAAGCUAACUUGUACUUGCAUAAAACUAGUAGAGCUUUGCACAUAAUCAGAGUUUUCUUGAAUGACAGUCUUUGAAAUGCAAAUGUUGUACAGGUCUUCCCCUUCUGAAGAAUAUAUGCUUGUUAUUGUAUUAACAUAUGUAAAAUGUUUUUCUUCAGAUAUUUUCUUAAAUUAUUUUCUUCGGGCUCCAGUAUAAAGGAAGAGCAUAAUUUUAAAAUCACACUCACUUGGCAUUCCUUCAACAUUUCCUAAGUAAAAACAAAUUACAUGGUAAAAA